RNAcentral lists this ribosomal RNA (1536 nucleotides) under Heliocidaris crassispina. RNAcentral's name for it is "16S ribosomal RNA". It matches the Rfam family "Bacterial large subunit ribosomal RNA", at positions 159 to 2771 of the family's 2925-position model. Lineage: Eukaryota; Metazoa; Echinodermata; Echinoidea; Camarodonta; Echinometridae. The record is from RNAcentral.
AAAAGUUUUAAAUCUAGGCCUCAAAAGAAUUCAAACAAUAAACUUCUUUACAAGAAAAAACACUUUUUAACUUAGUAAAUUUAUUUGAAAGAACCUCUAGCCCGAAAGAAAUAGUACCGCAAGGGAAAGAUGAAAUACCAAUAACUAAUAAACCUAACAAAGGAAAGGUAACCCCUUUUACCUCGUGUAUAAUGGAUUAACGAGUACAUAGAAAAGUUUUUCCUACCCCGAAACUGAACGAGCUAAUCUCCCCUCCUUUUAAGAAGGACCAAACCACUGUUGCAAUAGUGGAAGAUAAAGGGAAGAUUAGAUGUGAAAUGCUAAGCGCGUUCAGAAAUAGCUGGUUCCCCAAGAAAUUAGUUUGAGCUAAGCCUUUACAAAAAAAUAAAUCCUCUUUAAACAUAUAAAAGGAUCCCUUAAAAUUUUUAAGCAAAGGUUAGGACUUUAGGGAUAAGCUUAAAGCCCACAAUGGAAAACUCCAACACUAAUAGCUAAAGACAAUAAACUUACAGAAUAGUUACCAAUAAAGGAAUAGGCCUAAAAGCAGCCACUUAAAAAGAAAGCGUUAAAGCUCAAUUAUUUUCUCUAACUAGAAAAUUUUUGAAGUAUACUUCUAAAGCUAUAAAGAUUUAUUGGGGCGCUCUGUUAUCAGAAGAGACAAUGUUAAUAUGAGUAAGACAAACUUCACCUGCGUAUUAUACGCUUCUAACUUUGGAGCAAAAAACAUUGAGACUAAAAACCUCGUUUUUUAAAUCGUCUUCCAACUCAGGAGAAGGAACACAAAAUUAAAUGAAGAAAAGGAACUCGGCAAAUCUUAGUUUCGCCUGUUUACCAAAAACAUCGCCCCCCGAAAAAUUUUAACAUGGGGGGUCCUGCCUGCCCAGUGACUCGAGGUUAAACGGCCGCGGUAUCUUGACCGUGCGAAGGUAGCAUAAUCAUUUGUCUCCUAAAUAGAGACUAGUAUGAAUGGCAAGACGGAACUAAACUGUCUCUUUUUCACAACUCCGAAUUUCACCUCCCCGUGAAGAGGCGGGGAUAAAAUCGUUAGACGAGAAGACCCUGUCGAGCUUACAGCAAAAAUCGAGCUUUUAAUUCACUUGACCUCUACUAACCUAUAAAUUUAUACGAGAACAAGCUUUUAAAAGCCUCGAACAAGCUUUGGUUGGGGCAACCGCGGAGUAGGAAAAUCCUCCGCUAAUAAAACAAUUUUACAAAGAAUUACAAUUCUACAAUCAAAAUGAAAGUAUGAUCCACUAAGGUGAUCAAAGGAACAAGUUACCGCAGGGAUAACAGCGUUAUCUUUUCUGAGAGUUCACAUUGACGAAAAGGUUUGCGACCUCGAUGUUGGAUCGGGACAUCCUAAGGGUGCAGAAGCUUUUAAGGGUUGGUCUGUUCGACCAUUAAAGUCCUACGUGAUCUGAGUUCAGACCGGCGAGAGCCAGGUCAGUUUCUAUCUACGUAAAAAUCUUUCUUAGUACGAAAGGACCAGAAAGAGAGUGCCCAUGCACCAAAUGUAAGCACUUCAAAUUAAAAAAC